RNAcentral lists this ribosomal RNA (254 nucleotides) under uncultured bacterium. RNAcentral's name for it is "partial 16S ribosomal RNA". It matches the Rfam family "Bacterial small subunit ribosomal RNA", at positions 524 to 776 of the family's 1533-position model. The record is from RNAcentral.
UACGAAGGGGGCUAGCGUUGCUCGGAAUCACUGGGCGUAAAGGGUGCGUAGGCGGGUCUUUUAAGUCAGGGGUGAAAUCCUGGAGCUCAACUCCAGAACUGCCUUUGAUACUGAGGAUCUUGAGUUCGGGAGAGGUGAGUGGAACUGCGAGUGUAGAGGUGAAAUUCGUAGAUAUUCGCAAGAACACCAGUGGCGAAGGCGGCUCACUGGCCCGAUACUGACGCUGAGGCACGAAAGCGUGGGGAGCAAACGGG